AGAGUUUGAUCCUGGCUCAGAACGAACGCUGGCGGCAUGGAUUAGGCAUGCAAGUUGAACGAACUCCUUCGGGAGUGAGUAGCGGAAGGGUGAGGAACGCGUGAGUAAUCUGCCCCCCAGUUGGGAAUAACAGUUGGAAACGACUGCUAAUACCGAAUGUGGCUUAAGCUUCGCCUGGAGCUUUGGCUAAAGAUUUAUCGCUGGGGGAUGAGCUCGCGUCCCAUUAGGUAGUUGGUGAGGUAACGGCCCACCAAGCCGACGAUGGGUAGCUGGUCUGAGAGGAUGGUCAGCCACACUGGGACUGAGACACUGCCCAGACUCCUACGGGAGGCUGCAGUCGAGAAUCUUGGGCAAUGCGCGAAAGCGUGACCCAGCAAUGCCGCGUGUAUGAUGAAGGCCCUCGGGUCGUAAAGUACUGUCUCCCGUGACGAAAUUUGACGGUAGCGGGGAAGGAAGCCACGGCUAACUACGUGCCAGCAGCCGCGGUAAUAC
RNAcentral lists this ribosomal RNA (492 nucleotides) under uncultured Victivallaceae bacterium. Its description in RNAcentral is "bacterial SSU rRNA". It matches the Rfam family "Bacterial small subunit ribosomal RNA", at positions 8 to 526 of the family's 1533-position model. The record is from RNAcentral. Lineage: Bacteria; Pseudomonadati; Lentisphaerota; Lentisphaeria; Victivallales; Victivallaceae.